This 693-nucleotide ribosomal RNA is filed under the name uncultured Vibrionaceae bacterium. RNAcentral's name for it is "bacterial SSU rRNA". It matches the Rfam family "Bacterial small subunit ribosomal RNA", at positions 1 to 671 of the family's 1533-position model. Lineage: Bacteria; Pseudomonadati; Pseudomonadota; Gammaproteobacteria; Vibrionales; Vibrionaceae. The record is from RNAcentral.
CGCGGGAUUAGAGUUUGAUCAUGGCUCAGAUUGAACGCUGGCGGCAGGCCUAACACAUGCAAGUCGAGCGGCAGCGACAACAAAGAUUCUUCGGAUGACUUGUUGGGCGGCGAGCGGCGGACGGGUGAGUAAUGGCUGGGAACCUGCCCUGACGUGGGGGAUAACAGUUGGAAACGACUGCUAAUACCGCAUGAUGUCUUCGGACCAAAGAGGAGGACCUUCGGGCUUCUCGCGUCGGGAUGGGCCCAGUUGGGAUUAGCUAGUUGGUGAGGUAAUGGCUCACCAAGGCGACGAUCCCUAGCUGGUUUGAGAGGAUGAUCAGCCACACUGGAACUGAGACACGGUCCAGACUCCUACGGGAGGCAGCAGUGGGGAAUAUUACACAAUGGGCGCAAGCCUGAUGCAGCCAUGCCGCGUGUGUGAAGAAGGCCUUCGGGUUGUAAAGCACUUUCAGCAGUGAGGAAGGGUAAUGAGUUAAUACCUCAUUAUCUUGACGUUAGCUGCAGAAGAAGCACCGGCUAACUCCGUGCCAGCAGCCGCGGUAAUACGGAGGGUGCGAGCGUUAAUCGGAAUUACUGGGCGUAAAGCGCAUGCAGGCGGUUUGUUAAGCAAGAUGUGAAAGCCCCGGGCUCAACCUGGGAACCGCAUUUUGAACUGGCAGGCUAGAGUCCUGUAGAGGGGGGUAGAAUUUCA